GAUCCUGGCUCAGGACGAACGCUGGCGGCGCGCCUAACACAUGCAAGUCGAACGAGCGAGAGAGAGCUUGCUUUCUCGAGCGAGUGGCGAACGGGUGAGUAACGCGCGAGGAACCUGCCUCAAAGAGGGGGACAACAGUUGGAAACGACUGCUAAUACCGCAUAAGCCCACGGCUCGGCAUCGAGCAGGGGGAAAAGGAGCAAUCCGCUUUGAGAUGGCCUCGCGUCCGAUUAG
This 234-nucleotide ribosomal RNA is filed under the name uncultured bacterium. Its description in RNAcentral is "partial 16S ribosomal RNA". It matches the Rfam family "Bacterial small subunit ribosomal RNA", at positions 15 to 244 of the family's 1533-position model. The record is from RNAcentral.